RNAcentral lists this ribosomal RNA (253 nucleotides) under uncultured bacterium. RNAcentral's name for it is "partial 16S ribosomal RNA". It matches the Rfam family "Bacterial small subunit ribosomal RNA", at positions 524 to 776 of the family's 1533-position model. The record is from RNAcentral.
UACGUAGGGGGCAAGCGUUGUCCGGAGUUACUGGGCGUAAAGCGCACGCAGGCGGUCGAUUAAGUUUGGAGUGACAGUUGGUGGCUUAACUGCCAAAGUGCUUCGAAAACUGAUCGACUUGAGGGCUUCAGAGGGACACGGAAUUCCGGGUGGAGUGGUGAAAUGCGUAGAGAUCCGGAGGAAGACCGGUGGCGAAGGCGGUCUGCUGGGCAGUUUCUGACACUGAUGCGCGACAGCGUGGGGAGCAAACAGG